GGCCCAAACUCCUACGGGAGGCUGCAGUAGGGAUCUUCCACAAUGGGCGAAAGCCUGAUGGAGCAACGCCGCGUGUGUGAUGAAGGCUUUCGGGUCGUAAAGCACUGUUGUAUGGGAAGAAAAGUUAAGGUAGGGAAUGACCUUAGCCUGACGGUACCAUACCAGAAAGGGACGGCUAAAUACGUGCCAGCAGCCGCGGUAAUACGUAUGUCCCGAGCGUUAUCCGGAUUUAUUGGGCGUAAAGCGAGCGCAGACGGUUGGUUAAGUCUGAUGUGAAAGCCCGGAGCUCAACUCCGGAAAGGCAUUGGAAACUGGUUAACUUGAGUGCAGUAGAGGUAAGUGGAACUCCAUGUGUAGCGGUGGAAUGCGUAGAUAUAUGGAAGAACACCAGCGGCGAAGGCGGCUUACUGGACUGUAACUGACGUUGAGGCUCGAAAGUGUGGGUAGCAAACAGGAUUAGAUACCCUGGUAGUCCACACCGUAAACGAUGAACACUAGGUGUUAGGAGGUUUCCGCCUCUUAGUGCCGAAGCUAACGCAUUAAGUGUUCCGCCUGGGGAGUACGACCGCAAGGUUGAAACUCAAAGGAAUUGACGGGGACCCGCACAAGCGGUGGAGCAUGUGGUUUAAUUCGAAGCAACGCGAAGAACCUUACCAGGUCUUGACAUCCUUUGAAGCUUUUAGAAAUAGAAGUGUUCUCUUCGGAGACAAAGUGACAGGUGGUGCAUGGUCGUCGUCAGCUCGUGUCGUGAGAUGUUGGGUUAAGUCCCGCAACGAGCGCAACCCUUAUUGUUAGUUGCCAGCAUUCAGAUGGGCACUCUAGCGAGACUGCCGGUGACAAACCGGAGGAAGGCGGGGACGACGUCAGAUCAUCAUGCCCCUUAUGACCUGGGCUACACACGUGCUACAAUGGCGUAUACAACGAGUUGCCAACCUGCGAAGGUGAGCUAAUCUCUUAAAGUACGUCUCAGUUCGGACUGCAGUCUGCAACUCGACUGCACGAAGUCGGAAUCGCUAGUAAUCGCGGAUCAGCACGCCGCGGUGAAUACGUUCCCGGGUCUUGUACACACCGCCCGUCACACCAUGGAAGUUUGUAAUGCCCAAAGCCGGUGGCCUAACCGUAAGGAGGAACCGUCUAAGG
Molecule: ribosomal RNA, 1140 nt
Filed under: Leuconostoc carnosum
Lineage: Bacteria; Bacillati; Bacillota; Bacilli; Lactobacillales; Lactobacillaceae
Description: bacterial SSU rRNA
Rfam family: Bacterial small subunit ribosomal RNA
Source: RNAcentral